This 275-nucleotide ribosomal RNA is filed under the name uncultured bacterium. Its description in RNAcentral is "partial 16S ribosomal RNA". It matches the Rfam family "Bacterial small subunit ribosomal RNA", at positions 1042 to 1319 of the family's 1533-position model. The record is from RNAcentral.
UGCAUGGUUGUCGUCAGCUCGUGUCGUGAGAUGUUGGGUUAAGUCCCGCAACGAGCGCAACCCUUAUCAUUAGUUGCUAACAUUCAGUUGAGCACUCUAGUGAGACUGCCAGGGUUAACCUGGAGGAAGGUGGGGAUGACGUCAAAUCAUCAUGCCCCUUAUGUCUAGGGCCACACACGUGCUACAAUGGUGGGGACAGAAAGAUGCGAAACCGCGAGGUUGAGCCAAACUUUAAACCCUAUCCCAGUUCGGAUUGCAGGCUGAAACUCGCCUGC